GCGCUCUGGAUCUGCAAACCCAUCGAGGGCAAGGUCGUCUGGCGCGUCGAGGUCGGCCGAUGCCUCCGGCACCAGACGGCCGACGCUACUCCUCAGAUCCACCCGCCGCGGCGAGCAUAUGGCGCCCACGGCUGCUCAGUGAGUGGACGGUGACCACGGCUGUGCGGGGAAAAGCGGAGGAAGCCGCAGGCGCUGCUCGACUCGCUCUCGGGGGACCGCCCGCCACCGCCAACGCAGGAGCCGGUGCGCCUCCAGGCCGGCGUCCUCCGCUUCCCAUCCGAAGGCAGCGCUGAGUUCGGGGUCCACGCAUCCUUCGUCACCAAGAAGCAACAAGCAUUGGCGCAGUGCCCCUUGGUGUGCAGGUGCCGGCGUGCCGCUGGUCCUCUCCAGCGCCGCAGCACAGCCACACGUAGCAGACAGGCCUGCUCCUUCCCUCUUUCCUCUCUCUGUUCCUGGAAGAUCAACAGUAAAGAUGCUAGUUACUUGCUAGUACUUAUGCAUUACUAAUCCUGUGAAAUUCAUAGAAAAUUUAUGGUAGAUCCAAAAAUUCUGAGUCCUGUCAUGUUGCUUCAAAAAUUCUUUGAUUGCUUCAUUACUCUGUCUAGUCCUCAAUGUGCUAAUCAUUAUUUCAUUGCUUCACUGAGUAUUUUGAACUGCGAAUGUCACUGCUAUUUCUCCUGUAUCACUACUGUUGGAAUAUAACUCUCCACAUGAUUUAGUCAUUUCCUACUAGAAGCUGCUUGCCUAUUCUACAUGUCCUAUCUUGGCUAGUUUGUUGAUUACUUUCUUGCCUGAAGCUAUUUUGGCUAAUGUAGAGUUUAACCUCUCUGCAUAUUAAUGCUAGUACUGCCUUACCUAGCUCCUAGCAGCCCAAAAAAAUUAAUUAAAGCUUCGUCAGGUUCAAAUUUCACCCGCUAUCUGCCAGCAUUUUGAGAUUUAUGUUUCUUUAUGCUUCAAGUGACCCAAAGGUUCUGUGUACUUGCAGGCUAUGUGUCUACCAUGGGUCUCUAUGAAUCGGCCUACCAGUUAUCAUGGUUUACCUGGGAGGCCCUUCUUACUACACUGCCAGCACUUUUUACUAUGCUAUUUGGGAUGAUGUUCCAGUUUGACUUCUUCCUUAAUAAUAGUAUUUGGGAUGAUGUUCCAACUCAAUUUCUUCCCUGGUCGCCCCUGUUCUAUGGCGAGUACUGAAAAACUAUACUGCUAAUAACAUAGUUCGUAUUGCAUAUGUGCUUGCUUUCCACUUACAGGAAGCUGUCACAUGUUCACAUAAGUUUCUGAUUAUUAAGUGGCUGGUUAUCUACAGUGCUGACUUCACUACUGCCUUCAAGAAUAUUUCAUUUGUUUGUAUAACUGUGUAGAACAUUAGUUCUUCCUGGACCAAUGUUGCAUUACGACCAAGAAGCUUGGAACUGAGCAAAGCUGCAGGACAUGAUCAAAGAGUUUGAUGCUGGAUGUACACCUGUUAUGUUGUUGGAUGGAAUGUUGAGACUUUGUAUUUGAUGUGGUACUGGAUGUUAUUGAAUCUGAGUUCUUGUUCAAUUUGUUGUGUCAACAAAAUUACAAUGAUUUUUGAAUGGGCUUUAUGUCUUGUUUU
Long non-coding RNA from Panicum hallii, 1597 nucleotides. RefSeq lists it as uncharacterized. The record is from RefSeq and is a predicted model, not a curated record. NCBI's taxonomy places the organism in Eukaryota, Viridiplantae, Streptophyta, Magnoliopsida, Poales, Poaceae. The transcript has 2 exons.